This 301-nucleotide long non-coding RNA is filed under the name Mytilus galloprovincialis (Mediterranean mussel). Lineage: Eukaryota; Metazoa; Mollusca; Bivalvia; Mytilida; Mytilidae. The record is from RNAcentral.
AUUUUUAUCUUAUUUAUGUUUAGGCCACACCAAUUUGAUUCCUUGUUCGACGGACCCGCCCGCACCUAUUUUUUUUCAAAACAGAAUUUUUUUAUUUUUUUUAUAUUCCCGCUUCCCGCAUCCGGAAAUGUAAUCAUGUCCAUUUCCCGCACCGUUUUUUUUUUUUGUAAAUAUUAUAAAAAGAUAUCAACAUUCGUUUUAAAUCACAGUCUAACCUGUAUAUAAUGAUUUUAAACAUAAAAGCACCCCUCCACACUUUGUAAAUAUCUGUGAGAAUAUUUGUUUCAGCAUGAAACCUAUU